GGCUCAGGAUGAACGCUGGCGGCGUGCUUAACACAUGCAAGUCGAACGAACCUUCGGGUUAGUGGCGGACGGGUGAGUAACGCGUGGGAAUCUGCCCUCAGGAGGGGGAUAACGGUUGGAAACGGCCGCUAAUACCCCAUAUGCCGAAAGGUGAAAUGAAUUUCGCCUGAGGAUGAGCCCGCGUCUGAUUAGCUAGUUGGUGUGGUAAUGGCUCACCAAGGCUUCGAUCAGUAGCUGGUCUGAGAGGAUGAUCAGCCACACUGGGACUGAGACACGGCCCAGACUCCUACGGGAGGCAGCAGUGGGGAAUUUUCCGCAAUGGGCGAAAGCCUGACGGAGCAACGCCGCGUGAGGGAUGAAGGCCUCUGGGCUGUAAACCUCUUUUCUCAAGGAAGAAGAUAUGACGGUACUUGAGGAAUAAGCCACGGCUAAUUCCGUGCCAGCAGCCGCGGUAAUACGGGAGUGGCAAGCGUUAUCCGGAAUUAUUGGGCGUAAAGCGUCCGCAGGCGGCCCUUCAAGUCUGCUGUUAAAACGUGGAGCUUAACUCCAUCAUGGCAGUGGAAACUGUUGGGCUUGAGUGUGGUAGGGGCAGAGGGAAUUCCCGGUGUAGCGGUGAAAUGCGUAGAUAUCGGGAAGAACACCAGUGGCGAAGGCGCUCUGCUGGGCCAUAACUGACGCUCAUGGACGAAAGCCAGGGGAGCGAAAGGGAUUAGAUACCCCUGUAGUCCUGGCCGUAAACGAUGAACACUAGGUGUCGGGGGAAUCGACCCCUUCGGUGUCGUAGCUAACGCGUUAAGUGUUCCGCCUGGGGAGUACGCACGCAAGUGUGAAACUCAAAGGAAUUGACGGGGGCCCGCACAAGCGGUGGAGUAUGUGGUUUAAUUCGAUGCAACGCGAAGAACCUUACCAGGGUUUGACAUCCUGCGAACCUUUAAGAAAUUAGAGGGUGCCUUCGGGAACGCAGUGACAGGUGGUGCAUGGCUGUCGUCAGCUCGUGUCGUGAGAUGUUGGGUUAAGUCCCGCAACGAGCGCAACCCACGUUUUUAGUUGCCAGCAUUUAGUUGGGCACUCUAGAAAGACCGCCGGUGAUAAACCGGAGGAAGGUGUGGAUGACGUCAAGUCAUCAUGCCCCUUACAUCCUGGGCUACACACGUACUACAAUGCUACGGACAAAGGGCAGCAAGCUCGCGAGAGCAAGCAAAUCCCAUAAACCGUGGCUCAGUUCAGAUCGUAGGCUGCAACUCGCCUACGUGAAGUAGGAAUCGCUAGUAAUCGCAGGUCAGCAUACUGCGGUGAAUACGUUCCCGGGCCUUGUACACACCGCCCGUCACACCAUGGAAGUUGGCCACGCCCGAAGUCGUUACUCCAACCCUUGUGGAGGAGGACGCCGAAGGUGGGGCUAAUGACUGGGGUGAAGUCGUAACAAGGUAGCCGUACCGGAAGGUGCGGCUGGAUCACCUCCUAA
This 1465-nucleotide ribosomal RNA is filed under the name Prochlorococcus marinus str. MIT 9211. RNAcentral describes it as "bacterial SSU rRNA". It matches the Rfam family "Bacterial small subunit ribosomal RNA". The record is from RNAcentral. Lineage: Bacteria; Bacillati; Cyanobacteriota; Cyanophyceae; Synechococcales; Prochlorococcaceae.